CUUUAUACCUCCCCCAGCGCUUAAAACAGUGCCUGGCAUAUAGUAAGCGCUUAACAAAUACCAUCAUCACCAUCGGUGACUACCUGGAUCAGCUGGCAAUUCGGUGGCAGAGGAGGAAUCGGAGCCUCAGUUUCCUCGUCUGUAAGGUGAAGAUAAGCAUAUCCUUAUGAAGAUGUGCUUCUUUUACGUAGAUGAUUGAGCCACAGGCAAGAAGACAUGCAGGGGAUGGUGAACCAUUUUGCAGAGUAAGCCCUGCGUUAGCCACACGGCACUUAGAUGAGGUAACUGAGGCACAGAGAAGUGAAGUGACUUGC
This is a long non-coding RNA of Ornithorhynchus anatinus (platypus), 314 nucleotides long. RefSeq lists it as uncharacterized. The record is from RefSeq and is a predicted model, not a curated record. The transcript has 3 exons. Lineage: Eukaryota; Metazoa; Chordata; Mammalia; Monotremata; Ornithorhynchidae.